CGGACGGGUGAGUAACACGUGGAUAACCUACCUAUAAGACUGGGAUAACUUCGGGAAACCGGAGCUAAUACCGGAUAAUAUUUUAAACCGCAUGGUUCAAAAGUGAAAGACGGUCUUGCUGUCACUUAUAGAUGGAUCCGCGCUGCAUUAGCUAGUUGGUAAGGUAACGGCCUACCAAGGCAACGAUGCAUAGCCGACCUGAGAGGGUGAUCGGCCACACUGGAACUGAGACACGGUCCAG
RNAcentral lists this ribosomal RNA (241 nucleotides) under uncultured Staphylococcus sp. Its description in RNAcentral is "partial 16S ribosomal RNA". It matches the Rfam family "Bacterial small subunit ribosomal RNA", at positions 99 to 334 of the family's 1533-position model. The record is from RNAcentral. Lineage: Bacteria; Bacillati; Bacillota; Bacilli; Caryophanales; Staphylococcaceae.